GUAUUUUUAUUUUAAGGGAUUUAUUUUUUUAAGAAUUAGAGUUUAUCUUUUUAAGCCCCUUCUUGGAAUAAAUUUACACUUUUAACCCUUUGUGUAUAAAAGAAUUUCCAUUUUAGUCCUUAAACUAUUUUUCUUGACACUUUAGUAUCAAAACUUAUUGGAAAGACAUUUUUAGCACAAAUUUACUUGAUAAACAGCUUAAGUCCUUCAAAAAUGAAAUGUUCUCGGUUGAAACCUCCAUUUUCGCAACUUUUACAAUUUUGGCCCAAAACGGAAAAUUUUGCAUCUUUGGUCCCUUUUUAAUUCGAAAAGCAUUUUUGACCCUUGAAAUAGAUUUAGUAUACUAGUAAUCCCCUGUUUUACAGAAUUGUGUAGUUUCAGCCCCUAUAAUUCAAAAAUCUCGCAAUUUGGGGCUUUAUUGGGCCGAAAAGCCCAUUUUGGCCCCUUUAUGUUUAAAAUUCACAUUAUUAACCCUUCAAAAGUGUUGAUAUUCAGAAAAUACAUAUUAGAAACUGUUUAGACUCAUCUCAACCUUCAUAAUUUAUAUUUUGUCGUUUUGGGCCCCUUAGUUUUGUAUUUUUUUUGGCAUUUUGAGCCCAAAAAUGGGUUUUAAGUCCAAAAAUGUUCAUAUUAACCAACUAGAUUAUUUUUCUAGACUUGAUUAGUGUGAAAUGGUAUAAGUUAUACUUAUUUCAUUCUUCAUAUUGUAGAUCUCGGUUUUUAGGUUCUUUUUGGCUAGUAUAAACAUCACAAUCACAUAAGAUCAUACAUAUAAGCAUAAAAAUCACACAAGGCAUACAUUUACUCAUAGAUCUACACAUUUGUUUGUAUUCUCCCCCACAAAACUUAUAAAAACCGAAAAAGAAGGGGUAUGAAGCUCACCUUUGGGUGUGGUUUCGGUUUUUGGAAGAAAAUGAGAAGAAAUUCGGCCUUAGCAACCUUCCUUGGAAGAUUUCGAACUUGAAUGCUUCUUAGGUGCUAGAUCAUGAGUUUGAAUGAAUUAAGAGGUGAUUUUUGGAUGAAAUGAAGUAGCUAGUUUAAGGAUCUAAGAGAUUUCUUACCUUAGAUGAUGAUUUUUGUGUAAAAAUCCCCUUGAACACUUCUUAGAUCUCGAAAUAUGGAUGAGAUAUGAGAGAGUUUUCUUGAGAGAAAGGAGAGUGAAGUGUGUGUGUGUGUGUGCUUGAAGUCGGCCGAGAGCAAGAGAGAGAGGGAGAAAAAGAGUUAGCUAGUCAUGGAAGUAUGUGAGUGCAUGGAUGUUUGGGUCUUCUUGCAUGGAAGUCCCUUGAACAAUGGUGAGGUGGCACUCACAAAGUCAACUCUCCUCUUCUUUUGGGCUUGGGCCGAGANNNNNNNNNNNNNNNNNNNNNNNNNNNNNNNNNNNNNNNNNNNNNNNNNNNNNNNNNNNNNNNNNNNNNNNNNNNNNNNNNNNNNNNNNNNNNNNNNNNNNNNNNNNNNNNNNNNNNNNNNNNNNNNNNNNNNNNNNNNNNNNNNNNNNNNNNNNNNNNNNNNNNNNNNNNNNNNNNNNNNNNNNNNNNNNNNNNNNNNNNNNNNNNNNNNNNNUUGCUCCUGGAACGAGGUCAAUUCGGAACUCAACUUGUCUCUCUGGGUGUACUCUAGGAAGAUCUUCAGGAAAUAUGUCUGGGAAUUCACGUGCUAAUGGAAUGUCUUGAAUGUUAACCUCUUCCUUGGUUUUAUCCACUAUGUGAGCCAGGAACGUCAAAUCGUUCUUUCGUAGAUGCUUCUGUGCCUGGAUGCACGAGAUGAGGCGAAGGUUCGUGCUAGGUUUGUCUCCGUAAAUAACUAGGGUUUCGUGAUUGGGAAGGUGAAGGCGAACGGCCUUCACGUGACACAUAAUUUCAGCAUGGUGGGGGCUUAACCAGUCCAUGCCAAUAAUCACAUCGAAACUCCUAAUGGAAACAGGCAUUAAGUCUAUUAGAAAGAUGUGUUGAUUUAGGGUUAGGGUACCUCCGAUGUAGAUUUCCCCAGUGGAUUCGGUUUUCCCAUUGGCCAUUUCCACCGUAAAGGUUUCACUGAGCUUCUGGGGUNAGAUUUGGUUACAUCUACCACGAGAGUCAUGGGUCUAAAACCAUAAUAGAAUCGUUUAGUGAUGGAAACCCAACUUGAAAUUAGUGCUCCUAAUUUUCAAGUUUAACGGGUAUCAACGAAAUCACUAACGAUAGAAGGUACUAUCAUUCAUGAUAGAUCCAUGUGAGGUAGGAUAGUACGUCGUUGCCGAGAACGAGGUUGAGUUACGACUCUUAACAUAGUUUUGGAGACAUCUAAGCAACGAAGAUGUUGNUCGUCGGUGUUGAUGUUGUUGUUGUUGCGGUUGUUUUUGUUGCUGUUUCCCUGUUGUUGAUUCUGAGGAGGGUAAGNCUAGAGGUGGUGUCGCCUCAAGUGAAGAUUAGUGGUUUAUCUUCUAAAGAGUCAUGAAAAGGAUUUAUAACGCAUGGCCAUAAUAGCGCUCAGGGAGAACACAAAUAUGACUUGUGAUGUGUGGGGGUAACCCGGAGAGGUCAUUGAGGUUCAUGGUUUAAACCAAUAAGGAUACCAUUGAAUCGGUCUCUUCUUGUUUGUUCUCAAUAAACUAGGGUUUAAUCUUCGUGACACCCGGGUGACAUCAUCUGUCUGAGUGAAAGGAAACUUACCAACUUGGUGGGGGAUUGUUGGAACUUUAUAUAUAAAGGAAUUGAAGUUGGCAAUUUCCUUUGUAUCCCACAUUGGUGGGGGGAAGAAACUUUUGUGAGUUUAUAAGCCUAUUCCCUUGGUAAGCCUUCAAAGGAUUUAGUGGAUCAAAGGAAUGGGCCAAGCCCACACGCGCGCCUAGCCUAGCCUAGCAGUAGUCGACGCUGCGAGUGCGCUAAAUGGUGCGAUUUAGGCGCACUUUGCACUUCGCACGACGCUUCGGUCGCUGGGAGCUGAGGAGCUUUUAUUUUUGACGAGCUCGGGUCAAGCCGGUUUGACCGAUCUGGUCAAAUGGUUGACCGGUGUUGACUUCACGUUGACUUCGUGGAGGACAAGUCAGGGUAUUCUAGAAGGAGCAGGAAAUGGCUUGCUUGGAGAGCAAGUUGUCUCCCUAGGGUUUCUGGGGCCGGCUUAUGGGGGCCCGUUUGAUGCCUUCUAGGGUUAUAAUACCUAUAAAUACAGCUCCCUAGGAGCCGCAUUAACCUCUCACGAAAUCUGAAAGCUCUCCCCUCUCUCUCUCUUUGCGUUUUUUUUGGUUUCCAAGUAGUCGCUUUGUGUUUGUCGAUUUCCAGUGUUGUUGGAAUAUCGAUCAAGUUGCAUUAAAUCAUGGGGUUUUACUCUGUUGCUUACAGCCAGUAGAAGCGAAGUAAAAACCUUUAAGGACAGGAGUCUGAUCAGUGUAGUUGCUUCAAGAUCAAGAUCAGCAAUCAACAGAUCGGUUUUACUUUUCUGUCUUAUGGUUAAUUCAUCCGAUAACAGGACAGUCUUCUUCUACCUUUCUUAUAAUCAGAUCUAAUCGAGAAGGAUAGAUCUGAUUUCUGGACGAAACUUGGUAAAUAUAAUAAUAAUAAUUGAAUCUAUUAUUCGCAACUAAUCGACAUAUUAUUCUCAAUAUCAUUUGGUCUUCGCGUUCCCACGUGAAUUCUGGCCCACGUUUCGCGUUCCACCGUACUUUCACGCUCGGGAUGCGGCUUUACUUGGUACGCUUCACCUCCAUGUCCAUGAUUUCAACCGGUUCUUCAACGAACAGGAGAUUCUCGUUGAUUUCAAUCUCGUCAAGGGGAAUGACGAGUGUUUCAUCUGAUAGGCACUUCUUUAGAUUGGAGACAUGGAACACGGGGUGUACAUUGUUUAGCUCCGCGGGUAGCUGCAGUUUGUACGCCACUGGACCUAUUCGGGCAACGAUCUCGAAAGGUCCAAUGUAUCGUGGGUUCAGUUUUCACCGUUUUCCGAAAUAAAUGACUCCUUUCUAAGGCGAAACUUUUAAAAGCACUCGAUCCCCGACCUGAAACUCUAAGGGCUUUUUCCGUUUAUCAGCGUAGCUCUACUGUCGGUCGCGCAAUGCUUGUAAUCGAGCUCUGAUUUGAACUAUCUUUUUUGUGGUUUCACGAAUGAUCUACGGUCCCGUUAGCGCCUUGUCCGAUGCUAGUGUCUUUGCUAGCUGGGUGUCACCCACCUCAGCCCAACACAACGGUGAUCUACACUUACGUCCAUAUAGUGCUUCGAAAGGAGCGACUUUGAUGCUCGAAUAGUAACUGUUGUUAUAAGAGAAUUCAACUAAGGGUAAGUGGAUGUCCCAAGACUUCCCAAAGUCUAUCACACAUGCGCGAAGCAUGUCUUCGAGCGUCUGAAUGGUUCGUUCGCUUUGACCGUCCGUUUGUGGGUGAUAAGCGGUGCUCAUGUCGAGAUGGGUUCCGAGUGCUUUCUGAAGUGAUUGCCAAAAACGUGAAGUGAAUCUACUGUCUCUAUCUGAGAUGAUAGACACUGGUAUUCCAUGAAGUCUCACGAUUUCUCGAAUGUAUAAACGCGUCAGUCUCUCCAUCUUGUAGGAUUCUUUUAUUGGCAGGAAAUGGGCGGAUUUCGUCAGUCGGUCAACUAUUACCCAUAUAGUGUCUAAUCCGUCCGACGUCUUGGGUAGCUUGGUCACAAAAUCCAUAGAAAUCCCUUCCCACUUCCACUCGGGAAUCACCGGUUGCUGUAAUAAUCUCGAGGGCUUCUGGUACUCCACAUUUACCUUGGCACAAGUAAGGCACUUACUGACAUAGGUGGCAAUUUCUGCCUUCAUGUUAGGCCACCAAUAGUGUUGUUUAAUAUCCAAAUACAUCUUGUCCGAACCGGGAUAGAUGGAGUAUCGCGUCUUGUGGGCUUCCUUCAUGACUACCUCCCUAAAUCCUCCGAGUUUAGGGACCCAAAUACGGUUCAUGAAAUGGUAUACUCCGUCCUCUCUCACCUCUAGGUUCUUUUCCAUUCCGCGUAAUGCUUCGCUUGCUCUGUUUUCCGUCUUCAUGGCAUCUGACUGGGCUACCCCGAUCUGAGUGGUUAGGUGAGAUUGGAUGGUUAUUGAGAGAGUUUUUGCACGACGAUUAGAGUACUCCUUCCGGCUCAAGGCAUCAGCUACCACGUUGGCCUUGCCCGGGUGGUACUUGAUUUCACACUCGUAAUCGUUUAAUAAUUCAACCCAUCUUCGUUGCCUCAUAUUCAGCUCUUUCUGAUUCAAGAUAUGCUGGAGACUUUUGUGGUCCGUGAAGAUGGUGCACUUCGUACCAUAAAGGUAAUGCCUCCAAAUCUUCAGAGCAAAGACCACCGCUCCCAAUUCCAGAUCAUGGGUUGUAUAAUUCACUUCGUGUGUCUUUAGUUGGCGGGAUGCGUAAGCUAUCACUCUUCCACGCUGCAUGAGAACGCAACCUAAACCCUGAUUUGACGCGUCACAGUAGACCACGAAAUCUUCCGUUCCCUCUGGUAGAGAUAGUACCGGGGCACUGCAGAGCAUUUGCUUCAGGGUUCGGAAUGCAACUUCUUGUUUGUCCGUCCAUUUGAAUGGUACGCCCUUUUGUGUAAGCGAGGUAAGUGGCUUGGCGAUCUUAGAGAAGUUUUGAAUGAACCUCCUAUAGUAGCCUGCUAGGCCUAAGAAUUGGCGAAUUUCUGUGGGUGUUGUCGGGACUGCCCAUCCUUCGACGGCUUUGACCUUAGAAGGAUCCACAUGAAUUCCUUCUUGACUAACAACAUGACCUAGGAAGUUCACGCUACGGAGCCAGAACUCACACUUGGAGAGUUUUGCGUAUAGCUUUUCCGUUCGCAGGGUUUCUAGGAUUUGUCGGAGAUGUUGGCCAUGCUCUUCCUCGCUUCGGGAAUAGACGAGAAUGUCGUCAAUGAAGACGAUGACAAAGUUGUCGAGGAAUGGUCGACAGAUUCGGUUCAUCAGGUCCAUAAAUGCGGCAGGGGCAUUUGUUAGACCGAAGGGCAUUACGACAAAUUCAUAAUGUCCGUAACGAGUUCGGAAAGCGGUUUUAGGAAUAUCCUCUUCCCGGACUUUGAGUUGAUGGUAUCCGGACCGUAGAUCUAUCUUAGAGAAGUAACUAGCUCCUUGGAGCUGGUCAAAUAGAUCGUCGAUUCGUGGGAGUGGAUAGCGAUUUUUGACAGUGAGUUUAUUUAACUCCCUGUAAUCGAUGCACAUUCUAAAAGAUCCGUCCUUCUUUUUGACAAAGAGGACUGGAGCUCCCCAUGGCGAGUNAAAUUUACACUUUUAACCCUUUGUGUAUAAAAGAAUUUCCAUUUUAGUCCUUAAACUAUUUUUCUUGACACUUUAGUAUCAAAACUUAUUGGAAAGACAUUUUUAGCACAAAUUUACUUGAUAAACAGCUUAAGUCCUUCAAAAAUGAAAUUUUCUCGGUUGAAACCUCCAUUUUCGCAACUUUUACAAUUUUGGCCCAAAAUGGAAAUUUUUUGCAUCUUUGGUCCCUUUUUAAUUUGAAAAGCAUUUUUGACCCUUGAAAUAGAUUUAGUAUACUAGUAAUCCCCUGUUUUACAGAAUUGUGCAGUUUCAGCCCCUAUAAUUCAAAAAUCUCGCAAUUUGGGGCUUUAUUGGGCCGAAAAGCCCAUUUUGGCCCUUUAUGUUUAAAAUUCACAUUAUUAACCCUUCAAAAGUGUUGAUAUUCAGAAAAUACAUAUUAGAAACUGUUUAGACUCAUCUCAACCUUCAGAAUUUAUAUUUUGUCGUUUUGGGCCCCUUAGUUUUGUAUUUUUGGCAUUUUGAGCCCAAAAAUGGGUUUUAAGUCCAAAAAUGUUCAUAUUAACCAACUAGAUUAUUUUUCUAGACUUGAUUAGUGUGAAAUGGUAUAAGUUAUACUUAUUUCAUUCUUCAUAUUGUAGAUCUCGGUUUUUAGGUUCUUUUUGGCUAGUAUAAACAUCACAAUCACAUAAGAUCAUACAUAUAAGCAUAAAAAUCACACAAGGCAUACAU
This 6925-nucleotide long non-coding RNA is filed under the name Lactuca sativa (garden lettuce). RNAcentral's name for it is "long non-coding RNA (LSAT_LNC004055)". Lineage: Eukaryota; Viridiplantae; Streptophyta; Magnoliopsida; Asterales; Asteraceae. The record is from RNAcentral.